UACGAAGGGUGCUAGCGUUGUUCGGAAUUACUGGGCGUAAAGGGCGCGUAGGCGGUGUGUCAAGUCAGGCGUGAAAGCCCCGGGCUCAACCUGGGAACCGCGCUUGAGACUGGCACGCUAGAGUUCGGGAGAGGAUGGUGGAAUUCCCAGUGUAGAGGUGAAAUUCGUAGAUAUUGGGAAGAACACCGAUGGCGAAGGCAGCCAUCUGGACCGACACUGACGCUGAGGCGCGAAAGCGUGGGGAGCAAACAGG
This 253-nucleotide ribosomal RNA is filed under the name uncultured bacterium. Its description in RNAcentral is "partial 16S ribosomal RNA". It matches the Rfam family "Bacterial small subunit ribosomal RNA", at positions 524 to 776 of the family's 1533-position model. The record is from RNAcentral.